This 449-nucleotide ribosomal RNA is filed under the name uncultured bacterium. Its description in RNAcentral is "partial 16S ribosomal RNA". It matches the Rfam family "Bacterial small subunit ribosomal RNA", at positions 29 to 523 of the family's 1533-position model. The record is from RNAcentral.
AGCGAACGCUGGCGGCAGGCCUAACACAUGCAAGUCGAACGGGCUCUUCGGAGCUAGUGGCGGACGGGUGAGUAACACGUGGGAACGUGCCUUUAGGUUCGGAAUAAGCCCGGGAAACUGGGUCUAAUACCGAAUGUGCCCUUCGGGGGAAAGAUUUAUCGCCUUUAGAGCGGCCCGCGUCGGAUUAGCUAGUCGGUGAGGUAAUGGCUCACCAAGGCGACGAUCAGUAGCUGGUCUGAGAGGAUGACCAGCCACAUUGGGACUGGGCCACGGCCCAAACUCCUACAGGAGGCAGCAGUGGGGAAUCUUGCGCAAUGGGCGAAAGCCUGACGCAGCCAUGCCGCGUGGAUGAUGAAGGUCUUAGGAUUGUAAAAUCCUUUCACCGGUGAAGAUAAUGACUGUAGCCGGAGAAGAAGCCCCGGCUAACUUCGCGCCAGCCGCCGCAGUAA